Molecule: transfer RNA, 85 nt
Filed under: Felis catus (domestic cat)
Lineage: Eukaryota; Metazoa; Chordata; Mammalia; Carnivora; Felidae
Rfam family: tRNA
About the family: Transfer RNA (tRNA) molecules are approximately 80 nucleotides in length. Their secondary structure includes four short double-helical elements and three loops (D, anti-codon, and T loops). Further hydrogen bonds mediate the characteristic L-shaped molecular structure. tRNAs have two regions of fundamental functional importance: the anti-codon, which is responsible for specific mRNA codon recognition, and the 3' end, to which the tRNAs corresponding amino acid is attached (by aminoacyl-tRNA synthetases). tRNAs cope with the degeneracy of the genetic code in two manners: having more than one tRNA (with a specific anti-codon) for a particular amino acid; and 'wobble' base-pairing, i.e. permitting non-standard base-pairing at the 3rd anti-codon position.
Source: Rfam by way of RNAcentral
GCCUGGGUGGCUCAGUGGGUUGAAUUUCUGACUUCGGCUCAGGUCAUGAUCUCACGGUUCGUGGGUUCGAGCCCCACAUCAGGCU